This 657-nucleotide long non-coding RNA is filed under the name Mytilus galloprovincialis (Mediterranean mussel). The record is from RNAcentral. Lineage: Eukaryota; Metazoa; Mollusca; Bivalvia; Mytilida; Mytilidae.
AAAAAAGUUUAAUGGCAAAAAAUGUAGUGUUUCUGCAACAAGAGAUACGUAAUUUUGUAACAUACUAAUUAAGGUCUGGAGCUGUGGUGACAGUAACGGCUAGUAGUUCUUUGUUAAUUUAUGUAUCAUUGUCACUUUUCUUUAGUUUUUUGUUGUUGCCUGUUCUGACAUCGGACUCUGACUUCUUUUAAACUUAGUUUUACUGUGCGUUUUGCUACAUGUGUUUUUUUUAAAUCUAAAUUGGUUAGAGGUAAAGGGGAGGGUUGAGAUCUAAAAAAAAAAUAUUUAAUCCCGUCGCAUUUUUGCUCCUGUCCCAACUCGCCUCUGGCCUUUGUUAGUCUUGUAUGUUUUUGAUUUUAGUUCUUUUAUAUGUUUUGGAGUUAAGUAUGACGUCUAUUUUCACUGAACUAGUACACAUUUUUAUUUAGGAGCCAGCUGAGAAUAAUUGGUGGCCUUUAGCUAUUUUCUGCUCUUUGGACGGGUUGUUGUCUCUUCGACCUAUUCCCCAUUUCCAUUCCCAAUUUUAUUAUGUUUAAAAAGUUAGUUGAAUCCUACAUUCUAUAAAUAACAGACAUGGAUAAAGAAUAUUAAAAAUAUAUUGGACAAGAUACCGGAUUUUCAAACUUAUUGUAUGUGCAAAAUACAGACCUCACCAAA